Molecule: small RNA, 84 nt
Organism: Flavobacterium succinicans
Lineage: Bacteria; Pseudomonadati; Bacteroidota; Flavobacteriia; Flavobacteriales; Flavobacteriaceae
Rfam family: Flavo-1 RNA
Source: Rfam
UUCUACCUUCGCAUGAGGGAUGGGAGCGGCAUCCUCUUGGGGCGGGGUUCGCCCCAAGAGAUAUAGCGUACAGCCCGGGCCCGC